This 770-nucleotide ribosomal RNA is filed under the name Elizabethkingia meningoseptica. RNAcentral's name for it is "bacterial SSU rRNA". It matches the Rfam family "Bacterial small subunit ribosomal RNA", at positions 665 to 1442 of the family's 1533-position model. Lineage: Bacteria; Pseudomonadati; Bacteroidota; Flavobacteriia; Flavobacteriales; Weeksellaceae. The record is from RNAcentral.
AAUAAGUAGUGUAGCGGUGAAAUGCAUAGAUAUUACUUAGAACACCAAUUGCGAAGGCAGGUCACUAAGUCUUAACUGACGCUGAUGGACGAAAGCGUGGGGAGCGAACAGGAUUAGAUACCCUGGUAGUCCACGCCGUAAACGAUGAUUACUCGUUUUUGGGUUUUAGGAUUCAGAGACUAAGCGAAAGUGAUAAGUAAUCCACCUGGGGAGUACGUUCGCAAGAAUGAAACUCAAAGGAAUUGACGGGGGCCCGCACAAGCGGUGGAGCAUGUGGUUUAAUUCGAUGAUACGCGAGGAACCUUACCAAGACUUAAAUGGGAAAUGACAGAUUUAGAAAUAGAUCCUUCUUCGGACAUUUUUCAAGGUGCUGCAUGGUUGUCGUCAGCUCGUGCCGUGAGGUGUUAGGUUAAGUCCUGCAACGAGCGCAACCCCUGUCACUAGUUGCUAACAUUAAGUUGAGGACUCUAGUGAGACUGCCUACGCAAGUAGAGAGGAAGGUGGGGAUGACGUCAAAUCAUCACGGCCCUUACGUCUUGGGCCACACACGUGCUACAAUGGCCGGUACAGAGGGCAGCUACCUAGUGAUAGGAUGCAAAUCUCGAAAGCCGGUCUCAGUUCGGAUUGGAGUCUGCAACUCGACUCUAUGAAGCUGGAAUCGCUAGUAAUCGCGCAUCAGCCAUGGCGCGGUGAAUACGUUCCCGGGCCUUGUACACACCGCCCGUCAAGCCAUGGAAGCUGGGGGUACCUGAAGUCGGUGACCGUAAAAG